CACGUCAGCGCGCUUUGCUGACGUGGCAACAAAUCGCUUCCACGAAAGCGCGAUUUGUGUCCACAUCAACAAAGCGCGCUGAUGUGG
Molecule: non-coding RNA, 87 nt
Organism: Gossypium hirsutum (cotton)
Lineage: Eukaryota; Viridiplantae; Streptophyta; Magnoliopsida; Malvales; Malvaceae
Source: Rfam